This 301-nucleotide ribosomal RNA is filed under the name uncultured bacterium. RNAcentral describes it as "partial 16S ribosomal RNA". It matches the Rfam family "Bacterial small subunit ribosomal RNA", at positions 509 to 807 of the family's 1533-position model. The record is from RNAcentral.
CAGUCGCCGCGGGAAUACGGAGGGUGCAAGCGUUAAUCGGAAUUACUGGGCGUAAAGCGUGCGUAGGCGGUUCGUUAAGUCUGUUGUGAAAGCCCCGGGCUCAACCUGGGAAUGGCAAUGGAUACUGGCGAGCUAGAGUGUGUCAGAGGAUGGUGGAAUUCCCGGUGUAGCGGUGAAAUGCGUAGAGAUCGGGAGGAACAUCAGUGGCGAAGGCGGCCAUCUGGGACAACACUGACGCUGAGGCACGAAAGCGUGGGGAGCAAACAGGAUUAGAUACCCGUGUAGUCCCUGUCUCUUAUAC